Molecule: long non-coding RNA, 1942 nt
Filed under: Helianthus annuus (common sunflower)
Lineage: Eukaryota; Viridiplantae; Streptophyta; Magnoliopsida; Asterales; Asteraceae
Description: hypothetical non coding rna
Source: RNAcentral
UAUAACUUUUUAUAAUGGAGGGAGAAAAUUUGCAAAGUAGUAUAAAUAAGUGAUUACUGUUGGAUUUUUUAUUUUUAUUUUAAUAAAGUUUAAACAUUUAAAAUCAUGAGCUAAUGCCUAAAGGCAAAGGGGAUGGUUGCUCCCUCCAACAAAAAUGGUACGUUUUGCAUACCUAUCACACAAACCUAAAAUUAAGGCUGUUUGGUUUAGUUUUUCAAAACAUAUGACUUUUUGGAAAAGUUAAUAAAUCACAAUGAAGUGACUUAUUGACUUUUCCUCUCACAUAACAAUUUCAUGCCAGAACACCUUUUAACUUUUUAAAAAGUCAAUAAACUAAUAAAUCACUAAAAUAAGCAAUCCCAAACACCCUGUAAGAGAUUGCUCCUCUUAACAAUAGUCUAGAAGCCACACAUGGAAAUUACCUUGUGACACUGCAUUCUCAAAUGCAUAUAAAACUUUGAAAUGAACUUAUUGUGAAAGGUGAAGCGCUAAUCCAAAGGGGAAAGGCUACUACAAAAGAUCGCUCAUUCGCUUCUAAUCAAAGCUACUAUUUCAAAAGUUAUGGUUCUUAACUAGUUUUAAAACUAGUCAAAAUAGCUCGUAACAUGGAGUUACUAAAAAAGAUCAAGAUUAUAAACGAUACCAGUCAUUUGAUUAUGUAAACAUGACAUGGUCCCAUUUUACGCUGGGGUGUCAAUCGCAACAACUCAUGUGACAAACUACAAGAAAGAACUUAACAACAAUACCCAUACGAGAUAGUAAGCUUGUCAGGCACAAAACUAAAACAAUAAAAAAGAAAAGAAAUUUAACAAUACACAUUCAGGGUAGUAAACUUGUCAGGCAUGAAACUAACAUUGUAUAAAAUACAUGCUCAUCAACAUGUGAUGUCAUGUUGUGAGGGAGAAAAUAAAACCAUAUAAUACAAAAACAAUCAAUAAAAUUAAAACACACCAAAAAUAAGAUUAAUAUCUCCAAAUCUUAAAUGAAAAUCCAAAAUCAUCUAAAAAUAUUCUACCAACUAAAAUCAAGUCUAAGGUAUAUCUAAAAUGAGUAAAACCCAGAACUUAUAGUUUAGAAACCAAAAACGUUAAAAAACGAGAACAAAUCACUCGUUCAAUCUCCAAACAUCCUGGAAGCGAAGAAAACGCAAAUUUUAUCCUUAUCUCCAGCCACAAUGCCCCAUUCAAAAAUCUUGAUUCAAUCAAACCAACUAAAAGGCAUCAGAUCUAUACAAACAACCAACCUUUAUCAUUUACUGCAAGCUGCAAAAUCUGGGCUUACUCAAAUAUCUUGAUAAUUAAGUUGUUGAAGAUUUCGGGUUUGUGAACUCAUCGCCAAAGGUCACUUCCCCAUUGUCUGGCUUUAUAGAAGCACUCAACUCUUUAUCUGUAGUUCUCUCUUCGGUGGUUGAUGAUCCAUCCAGUGAAAGCUUUUCUAACGAAGGUUGUAUGAUAGAGCCAUCGGUUGUUGCGUGUGGUGACUGAGAUCCGGAAUCGAGUGUAAUGUUGACAGAAGGUUCUGGUCAAUGCGUACAAUAUUUUUUACAAGCAUUUUGCCACCCCUACAUAAAUGAUUCCGACAUUGUAUAGAUGAUACCUGAACUUCAACAAUAGUUGAGUCUCUUAUGGAGCUCAAAACCAUUUGCAAAUCACUUGUCAAACUUUUGACCUAGAAAUCAUGCAGAAAUAAAAAAACAUUAAUAUGAAAUACUAGUAGCCAGCUUAAGCAAAGCUAAAGGCACUUCAAUGAGCUAACUUGGUAAUACGUUGUAGAAAAUUAACCAAAUUAACAAAAAGGGUAAGCAGUUGAAUGUUGCCUGAAGUAUUGUUUUUAUGCUUUCAUCCCCUAAAUCACUUUAUUCAAAAACUAUAAAUUUUGAACCUGCUAAUAAUAGUUAUGGUAAUCAUAAUAUCAUAUUCAAAGCAAUGAUUAUUUAUAAAUU